CAAAUUUAUUGUAGUGAAGUCAUCUUUUUUAUUAAAGAUAUUUGUAUUUCCUUAUUGGACCUUCAUGUUUAGUUCACUUCAAGAUCUUGUUGGACCCCCUCAUCUGGAUUAUCAAGGUGAUUUUUAUUAGUUACAACAUUAAUCUCACAAUCCUUUGCUGCCUACUACUACCACUGUGAUGAGGCUGAAGUUGGGAAACACUAAUUAACUUAAGAAUAUUAUUGGUUCUAAAGUAAGCAUAAAGACUAAUAAAUAUAAAGCCUCUUCAAUAAAAGGAUUAGAUUUGAUCUUAACCACAUCUUCAAUGAGAUACACACAACCGUAUAUAAAAAAAAUAAAUGCAUUUUUAGACAUAAUUCUAAUUCCUUAGAUUUGUUGGUCCUCAACCAACUGGUUGGCUUAGCUUUCCCUAAUAUCUAGUAUCAAGGCUUCAUCCCAAAUGUUUGAAUGCCACUCAAAUAAGUUAGACUGAAUUGAUAGAUCAUUCUUGCUUUCAUUUUUCCCCCCUUUAUUUUACAAGUAUUUUGAUUUGUUACCUCUGUACUUGGCUGAUUACAACUGUGAGAAUCUUACUCAUCAGUAACUAUGGUAAUAAGAGUAAAAGUACAAGUUGUUUAUAAGUAUUUAUUAAUUACUAGAGUACCAUUACAGUGUGGGUAUGAAUAUGUUUGAUAAUUUAGUAAAUUGAUAAGCUUCAUAAACAUAUAUUUAGACUCGCUGUGAAAUUAGGCCCCAUGGUUUAAGCCACUAGGAUUUUUGAUGGCUUGGGAUGAGGAUUGAACUGAAAUAGUUUCAUUUUGUUUCGACAUUUGCCUAGAGGUUAAAAGUGAUGUAAGCUAUGUUGAGAAGAUUGUGAACACAUUUACAUAAUAAUACAAACCCACAGGGUCUCAUUUCGUAACAGGUCUAAAUAUAUGUUUAUUAGACACAUGGAUAUGUUUCCAUGUACAUAUUAUGUUUAUAGGUAGCCAACUCUACAUCUGUGAGACUGUUGUAUGCAAAGACUGCAUUAAAGAAUUGGUCAGUAGUAAAUAACUAUGCAUGGAGUGUCAUGAGACAGGCUUUUUAUAUACAUUUUGUUCGUGAAGAAUUGACACAUGGUUUAUGGAAUCGGCAGAUUUCUUUUCCCUUAGACAUUUUCACUGAGGCAGUGUAGGACAAAGUUAUUUAGAUAUAAGGUGAACAAAAUAAAAUAAACCAUACAAAGCAAAAAAAAAAACAAACAAAAUAUAUAUAUAUGUGGACUACAACAUCGCCUGUUGUUUCUAUAAGUCAUAUUUCUGAGUGAAUUAAAUAAAUCUGAAAAUAAGCGUCUCACACUUUGCACUGGUUUUAACAUUCAGUUUAGUGUCGCUGGCACCACAUAGGAGCAAAUAUCAAAAGCUGACGAGAAACUCCUCCGACCAGAACACUGUAUAUAUUUGAAAGCAUGCAGCAGGCAGCAGCUUCUCAGUGCCACCACAUAUUCUGAUAGAAGGCAAUGGAAAGGCAGUAUUGGUCAUCCCGUUUGAAGCGAGGAGCAGUCCAUCAGCGAACCCCUUUGAAUGUGACUAUGUGACAACCAGCAUCUCCAAGGAACACGAGCACAGCUGUUACAGCCAGCAGAACACAACACAUUUUAGGCAGUUUAGCACAUGUCCAUUAAGUGUGCCAGACCUUUUACCUCUUUGUUCUCUUAGUUGUGCUGGCUUUCUGAGUUUGGUUCUCUUGGAAGUGACUGUAAUGGUAUGGUUGGGGAAUGAGUGUGAAACAUGGAUGGGAAAACUGAGUCCUGCCAGGCUGGUUCAUGCCCUUCUAUCACCAGGCACUUUGCUGCUAGCUGUGUUGCUUGAUGUCACCACAAGUUAUUACUGCUUUAAUGCUCUAUUCAAGCUGGAAGCUGGCUAUAUCUUUAUAUGCCCCCAGCCAUUCUUCACUGUGUAAAACUUUCAUCUUUUAUAAUCUAGUUGGCAGAGAUUAGUGGGUUUGUUCGUUUUUUUUUUUUUUUUCCUCCCUAUCUUUUCCUUUCUUCUAUCAUAUUUUGUUCCUAAGGAACAGUCAUAAAAACAUUUCUAACAUUUCUGUAGCUGAAACUAUUGUACUUAAAGUAUGUACUCAUAUUCUAAAGAGUACUGCUAGAAUAAUUCUUCAGCUUUUCCACUCCCACUUCUCUGAUCUGUUGUAUUUUCUAUCUAGUCCUUCCCUUUGCCAAUGUCUCAUCUCUGCUGAUAGAUUCUUGGCACAGUUAAUGUCUCUGAAUUUGAAUGUAAAAUGAUUACUUUCUCUCUCAUCAUUUUAUCAACUUCACCUCUUUAACUAGUUUCUCCAUCUUAUUAUUUCUUUAUAUUUGGAAGCUUUCACUAAUAUUUAAAUUAUUUCUUCUAGGUCAUUACCUUUCCCUGUUUAAGUUUUAUCUAUAGUUGAGGGGAGUGAGUGAAGAUACUCACCCAUGUCAAAAUCAAUUCUGUAUCAUAUCAAAAGUUAGUGAAAUACAUUUUAACAACUUCAAUGCUUAUGAAGGUAAUUUUCUUACAUUAAGUGCUAUUUUUUUAUCCUUUAAUACUGUACAAAGGAGUGAUGAGAAUGAAUGUUUUACUAAAGGCAAACUGGUAAAUUUUAUAAGCUCCAAUGUCAAAAGCUGUGAUAGUUCCAUUUAACCCAAGCAAAAUGGUUUCACUGACUUCUCACAAAACUAAAAACAAAAAAAAUUUCUUUUUUGCCUUAUUUGUCUAAGAAUGAUUUUUAUAUUUCUUUUUCUUGUCAAGCUGUUUGGUUUGCGUCAUAUUAUCAUUGUUAUAUUAACUCUAAUUUUCAUGUAAUAUAAUUCUGUAUUAUAUUUCAAAGUUUAAGAAUUGUUAAGACUAUAUCUAGGUAGCUUGCAUUUUUAUUUUGUUUCUUGCUUGCAAAGUGAACCAUCACUUAGUUUUUUUUUCUGUUCCUUCUAUAAUUACUCACCAUGAUUUUCAUUCAUGCAAAUCAUAGAGUUGUCAUGAUAUUUUGUCCAACAUCAAAGACUAGCUUCUGUUCAUUUAGAGCCUGUUCUGGUUAAAUGAUUUCUUCAUCUUUAUUCAGGCUGUUACAUUAUUCAUCAACCCAGAUUACUCUCCACAUUUUCUCACAGCACAAGGUCCUACCUCUUCCCAUAUUAAUGGUUUAUUCCCGCUUCAUAAUUCUCUGUGGAAUUGUUGGGUUUCAAGUGCUGUUCUAAAUUGCCAAACACAUUCUUUCUCACACAUUUCUCUCUCUUUUCUCUCACACAUACACACACACAAGUAAUUUAUUUUAAUUUAAUGAAAUAGUCAUUUACUCAUUUCAAUCAUUGAAGGACAACUCCCUCCCUCCCUCUGUGUGUGUAUGUGUUUUAAUGUCCACUUUUCCAUAUUUGAAUGUCUGUGGGUAACUUUGAAGGCACAGAAAUAUGUGACUUUCUGUCUUGUACAUUUAAAUGCACAUACGAAAAAAAAAAAAAAAAUCUAAAAAAGAUGUUCACGUGUAGGACUCAAUAGAGAUGAUGGCUCCCAGUCGCCUGCUGUUUGAAUGACAUCUGCAUAGAUAAUUUCAAGAACACAUUAAUACAGAUAUUUAAAAAUCAUCAUUAAUAUCAACUUAAGAAUCAUCAAAAUCAAAGGGGAAGGUUUCUCAGUCAUUGCUCGACUUACUAAAAUAUCAGUUAAAUCUCCUAACCACCUUCUACCAUCAUUGAAUGGAUAAAUAAACUCGACUGCAAAAGACAGUAUAAUAUACUCCUUGAUACACUCCGAAAAUGAGGUGAGAUUAGAUGAUGAUGAUGAUGAUAGCUUGAUUACAAUUACAACUCCUACUGACAAGCUCUACCCUUAGAGAAAGCCAAAUAUAAAAUUAUAUUAUACAUUAUUAGAAACUUUAACCGUUUGUCCAUACCUCAAAAAUGUACUUGGCUAUAGAUAUCAGCAGGAGAUUGUUGAACCUAUCUUUUGUGCGAAAUAGAAUUAUUCCAUAGAUUAUUCAAAUGGUACUUUGAGAAAAAUUGGUUUCAAAGGAAAAUCAAAAUAUUUUUUUUAGUUGUUUCAGUCUUCAGUUGAACAAACUGACCUCAGGACUUAUUCUUUGUAAACCUAGUGCUUACUCUAUCAGUCUCUUUUGCUGAACCAUUAAAUUACAAGGACGUAAACACACCAACAUCGGUUGUCAAGUGAUGGUGGGAGGACAAACACACACACAUAUAUACAUACAUACAGGCUUCUUUCAGUUUCCGUCUACCAAAUCCACUCACAAAGUUUUGGUUGGCUCGAGGCUAUAGUAGAAGACACUUGCCCAAGGUGCCAUGCAGUGGGACUGAACCCAGAAUCAUGUAGUUGGUAAGAAAGCAGCUUACCACACAGCCACUCCUGCGCCUAUAUAUAGAAUAAAGUUCACAGAAAAUUAAAUAAAACAAACAAUCUGGUUGAAAAACUUUUGCCAGGUCCUGUCCAUUUACUGCAGUCAUUCAAAGAGUCCACCAACCAGACAAUUCCCAUAGAGACUUCUCUCUUGACCAUAAACAUACUGAGAGUUUAUGCUGCUAUAUACUCUGCCAUUUGCAGCAUUUUGUUUCCCGAACUAUUGCAAUACAUCCAAUAAAAUGCAUAAUGGUGUUGGACUAAACCAUCAGCUUUGAAUAGAUUAACGAACACGACUUGCAUUAUAUGGAAUAGUUUUACUCUUUGUACAUAUUAAUGUGCUUGUGUGUGUCUAUGUAUGUAUAUAUGUGUGUGUGUGUGUAUGUAUGUCUAUAUAUACUCACACACAUACACACUCAGAUAUUUAUGGCUCGUGUACUCACUACGUCCUACAGAACUUGAAGCCUCCCUCUGUCUUUUUUUUCAUCAUUCUGCUACGCACUCUAUACUUCUCUACCCUUCAUUCAUUCUGUGCCAAGGUCUGGAGCCACCUUCAUUUUCCUUCCUGAUGUAAAGUUAACACCAUAUUUGGUAAUUUCUUCAGUAACACCAACAAUAACUGCAGCAGGACUUAUUCUUUGUAAACCUAGUGCUUACUCUAUCAGUCUCUUUUGCUGAACCAUUAAAUUACAAGGACGUAAACACACCAACAUCGGUUGUCAAGUGAUGGUGGGAGGACAAACACACACACAUAUAUACAUACAUACAGGCUUCUUUCAGUUUCCGUCUACCAAAUCCACUCACAAAGUUUUGGUCUCUCUCUCUUUCUUUCAUUCAUUCAUUCAUUCAUUCAUUAUUUACAGCACAAGCCUGCACAUUUCUUUGUGUGCCUGUGCAUAUGUGGUUGUAUGUUUGUGGUCGUGUGUGUGUUGCUUAUCCUUUAUGACAGUGUAUGUGUGUAAAGUAAUUGACAAACAGAAGUGAUUAUGACUGUGUGUGUGUGUGUGUGUGUGUGUGUGUGUGUGUGUGUGUGUGGUGGGGGGGGGGCGGUUAUGCAAGUAGUUGUCUCUGGUCAUAUUCAUUUGUAUAUACCUUCUUGUAGCUGUCCUGUAAAAGUCAUUCCUCACCUGUCAGCUUCACUUGUCAACAUCACAUCAUUAUAAUUAUUACAGAAAGCAGAAAUAACUAGUUUGAGAUAGAUGGAAUGGCAGGCUCUCUGCAGCCUAAUCACAAACAUGGUUAACCAUCAAGCUAUGGAUAUGUAGUUCACAAAAGUUGUCUUGUUUCACCUAUUUUAGUUUCAAAUUGAUGUUUAUAAAGUCUAACAUUAUUAUUGUAAUUAUAAAUGAUGAUAAUCCUUCGUACUAAAGGCACAAGGCCUGAAAUUUUGUGGGAGGGGACUAGUUGAUUACAUCGAUCCCAGUUUUUCGCUGGUAUUUAACUUAUCGAUCCCGAAAGGAUGAAAGGCAAAGUUGACCUCAGUGGAAUUUGAACUCAGAACGUAAAGACGGAUGAAAUGCCACUAAGCCUUUUGCCCAGCAUGCUAAUGAUUCUGCCAGCUCACCAUCUUUAUAAAUAAUAAUAAUAAUAAUAAUAAUAAUAAUAAUAAUAAUGUGUUGUGCAUUGACAGAAUCAUAAAUGGUGGCCAAAAUACAUUGUAGUAUUGAAUUAUGGCUCUUUGCAUUCUGUGUUCAACUCCUGUCAUGGUCAUCUUUGUUUUUUCAUUCUUCUGGGGUUAGUAGAGUAUCAGUCAAGUACUGCAGUUGACAUGAUGGACUGUUCCCUUUCCUCAAAUUUGAGACCCUAUGGCCGUGUAAGAAAUUGCUAUUAUUAUUGAAGUGGCAAGCUGGAAAAAUCAUUAGCACUUUGGAUGAAAUGCUUAGCAGUAUUUCUUGCUACUCAUUGCGUCCUGAGUUCAAACGUCGCUGAGGUUGACUUUGCCUUUCAUCCUGUUGGAGUUGAUUAAAUAAGUACCAGUUAAACAUUGGGGUUUCAGACCUUGUGCCUAUAGUAGAAAGGAUUAUUAUUAAUAUAAUGAAGGCAGCAAGCUGGCGGAAUCGUUAGCAUGUUGGGUGAAAGGCUUAGCAAUAUUUCAUCGUUGCUACAUUCUGGGUUCAAAUUCUGCCGAGGUCGACUUCGUCUUGCUUCUUUUUGGGGUUGAUAAAUUAAGUAUCAGUGAAACACUGGGGUUGAUGUGACCAGCUAGUCUCCUCAUCUCCCAAAAUUUCAGGCCUUGUGCUUAUAGUAGAAAGGAUUAUUAUUAUUGUUGUUCUAAGAUUGACUCCCAAUAUAGGAGCAAGGUUUGCAAUUUUGAGCAUGAAUAUUGUUGUAGACUAGGAUAAUUGCAUCACUCACCUGGUACUUUAUUCUAUCAAUCUCAGAAAGAAAAACUGAGUUGAUCUUGAUGGCGUUUGAACUCGGACUGUCAAGGUACACAAGGCACUUUGUCAUUCUCUUGAUUCUUCCAGUUUUGUUCAUGAAUAUUUAUUACUAGGGAGUAAAAAGUUACAUGUAAAAAUCUAACAGUUUGCAUUUCUUUGUUGGAUACCAGUGGUCAGUUUUUGGUAAGAAGCAUAUAUACACCAUGUGGACAAGCCUCUUGCCCUUGCCUCCCACAUAAUUGGUACUAUGUAAAUCCUGCCUGGGUUGACUUUAGAAGUCAAUGAAAUAAAGAGCUGUCAAAUCUUAGGGGUCAGUUUUCUGUUGACUGUCCCACCGUUUCUCCAUAAAUGUAACCUUCUACUGCCUACAUGAGUAAAUCAUCAUCAUCAUCAUCGUUUAACGUCAGCCUUCCAUGCUGGUAUGGGUUGGACGAUUUGACUGAGGACUGGUGAAACCGGAUGGCAACACCAGGCUCCAAUCUAAUUUGGCAGUUUCUACAGCUGGAUGCCCUUCCUAAUGCCAACCACUCAGAUUAUGGAAAAGAAAGUGGUAGAUUGAUUGGAAUUGGUGGAGCUUUAAGUAUUUUUAUUUGCACCCUUUUGUAUUCUUGGUUCAAUUCCUGCUGAGGUUGACUUUGCCUUUCACUCUCUUAAGUUUGGUAAAAUAAAGGACAAGUGAAAUAACGGUGUCAGUUUGACCGACUAAGUCCCUACCCUACAAAUUUGUGGCCCUGUGCCAUUGUGAGAAAUUAUUAGGCUGGAAGAACUACAGAACUGGUAGAACAUCAGAUUAAAUGCUUUUGCAGGGUUUAAACAUGUUUCUAUUUUCUGAGUUCAUUCCCCACUGAGGUCAACUUUGGACCAAUAAAACAAAGUACCAGUUGUAAACUGGGGUUGAUUAAGUCAACUAGUUUCCUCUCCCUCCCUCAAAUCUUAUAACAUUGUCAUCCGUUAUGGCAUUUCUGUGUUUUAUCUUAUCAAAUGCUUGCCCUCCACUUCAGAAUGGGAUGGUCAGUUAGUUUUCCUGUGACAAUGUUAGUGCAAGAGUACUCAGUAAAGACUGGCAAACUGAACCAGCCUCCCAAUAAAUAUAUAUAUAUAUAUAUAUAUAUAUAUAUAUAUAUAUAUUCUUGAGACUCAGUCCUUUAGUUGGGUAAUUCCAAAGGGAUAGGUUGGCAGAGAUAGUUCUCAUUUCACAGCUUAGAGUCUCUAUUUAUUGCAAAUGAGUUCACUCAUACUCUCUCUCCACAGCUCCCUGCUUGGUAUAAAUGACCCUUUAUAAUUCAUACCUUGUCUUUCAUAUCCUCUUAGUACGGAAGUUAGCAGUCAAGAGGUAGAAGUAAAUUUAUUGAACUAAGUUACUUUAUCUUGCCCAUUUAGUUUAUCUGUUGUUGAUGUUGUUAUUGUGGUGCAGUGACUGUAAAGGUGGUGCAUUUAGUUAUGUUCUUUUUAAACCUCCCACCACCGAGGAAACUCAGUGAAUAUAUAAUUUUAUCAUGCAGUCAUUGUAGUUUCACUUUAAAAGUAAUCAAUUGCUUCUCAGCGAAUAGCCAUAGUUAAUUAGCUGACUGGCUUUACUUCUUCAACUGGGCUAUAAAACAAUAUAAGAGAUGGUAGGUGGGGUUGUAAAGAAAAAGGAAGGUUAGAUUGGUGUGACCAUGUGUUAGCUAUGUGACAGGUGGUGAGAAUGUGUGAGCCUGUAAUAUAUAUAUAUAUAUAUAUAUAUAUAUAUAAAAUGAAUGAUCUUUGUAUAUAUUGGUAUAUCGCAGUUGGACAUGACUGAUACAAUUUAAUCAUGAAAAUGAUGUUAUGGUUUACAGGCUGCCUAUUUUGUUGUUUGUAUUUUUGUUUACUUCAACUGACAAAUAAAAUAUAAAACCCUGAAUUA
Octopus bimaculoides (California two-spot octopus) is the source of this 8606-nucleotide long non-coding RNA. The record is from RefSeq and is a predicted model, not a curated record. NCBI's taxonomy places the organism in Eukaryota, Metazoa, Mollusca, Cephalopoda, Octopoda, Octopodidae.